UAAGUCGACCGCCUGGGGAGUACGGCCGCAAGGUUAAAACUCAAAUGAAUUGACGGGGGCCCGCACAAGCGGUGGAGCAUGUGGUUUAAUUCGAUGCAACGCGAAGAACCUUACCUGGUCUUGACAUCCACGGAAGUUUUCAGAGAUGAGAAUGUGCCUUCGGGAACCGUGAGACAGGUGCUGCAUGGCUGUCGUCAGCUCGUGUUGUGAAAUGUUGGGUUAAGUCCCGCAACGAGCGCAACCCUUAUCCUUUGUUGCCAGCGGUCCGGCCGGGAACUCAAAGGAGACUGCCAGUGAUAAACUGGAGGAAGGUGGGGAUGACGUCAAGUCAUCAUGGCCCUUACGACCAGGGCUACACACGUGCUACAAUGGCGCAUACAAAGAGAAGCGACCUCGCGAGAGCAAGCGGACCUCAUAAAGUGCGUCGUAGUCCGGAUUGGAGUCUGCAACUCGACUCCAUGAAGUCGGAAUCGCUAGUAAUCGUGGAUCAGAAUGCCACGGUGAAUACGUUCCCGGGCCUUGUACACACCGCCCGUCACACCAUGGGAGUGGGUUGCAAAAGAAGUAGGUAGCUUAACCUUCGGGAGGGCGCUUACCACUUUGUGAUUCAUGACUGGGGUGAAGUCGUAACAAGGUAACCGUAGGGGAACCUGCGGUUGGAUCACCUCCUUA
This 672-nucleotide ribosomal RNA is filed under the name Escherichia coli. RNAcentral describes it as "bacterial SSU rRNA". It matches the Rfam family "Bacterial small subunit ribosomal RNA", at positions 861 to 1533 of the family's 1533-position model. RNAcentral also lists the same sequence under 2 other names. Lineage: Bacteria; Pseudomonadati; Pseudomonadota; Gammaproteobacteria; Enterobacterales; Enterobacteriaceae. The record is from RNAcentral.